GGGGAAUAUUGCGCAAUGGGCGAAAGCCUGACGCAGCCAUGCCGCGUGUGUGAAGAAGGCCUUCGGGUUGUAAAGCACUUUCAAUUGGGAGGAAAGGUUCACGGCUAAUACCCGUGAGCUGUGACGUUACCUUUAGAAGAAGCACCGGCUAACUCCGUGCCAGCAGCCGCGGUAAUACGGAGGGUGCGAGCGUUAAUCGGAAUUACUGGGCGUAAAGCGCGCGUAGGUGGUCUGUUAAGUCGGAUGUGAAAGCCCCGGGCUCAACCUGGGAACUGCAUCCGAUACUGGCAGACUAGAGUGCGGGAGAGGGAGGUAGAAUUCCACGUGUAGCGGUGAAAUGCGUAGAUAUGUGGAGGAAUACCAGUGGCGAAGGCGGCCUCCUGGCUCGACACUGACACUGAGGUGCGAAAGCGUGGGGAGCAAACAGG
Molecule: ribosomal RNA, 428 nt
Filed under: uncultured bacterium
Lineage: Bacteria
Description: bacterial SSU rRNA
Rfam family: Bacterial small subunit ribosomal RNA
Source: RNAcentral